UACGUAGGUGGCAAGCGUUGUCCGGAAUUACUGGGUGUAAAGGGCGCGUAGGCGGUCUCUUAAGCGUGUGGUGAAAGCCCGGGGCUCAACUCCGGGUCGGCCGUGCGAACUGGGGGACUGGAGCUUGUCAGAGGCAGGCGGAAUUCCGGGUGUAGCGGUGGAAUGCGUAGAGAUCCGGAAGAACACCGGUGGCGAAGGCGGCCUGCUGGGACAGUGCUGACGCUGAGGCGCGACAGCGUGGGGAGCAAACAGG
Molecule: ribosomal RNA, 253 nt
Filed under: uncultured bacterium
Lineage: Bacteria
Description: partial 16S ribosomal RNA
Rfam family: Bacterial small subunit ribosomal RNA
Source: RNAcentral